AUUUUUAUAAAUAAAAAAAUAUUAACAAAACCUUAGAUACAUUAAAUUUAUCAUAAAUCUAAUUUUGACAUCAUUCAAAAUAAAAUAAAAUUUAAACCUAUGACAAACAUGCACUCAUAAAAACCUCUCUUCUACAUGUCUUCUUUCCUCCCCCUUUAUCAUUCAUUUUUCCAAUGGACAUGUGCUAAAGAAAUCCAACAAUUAAUAGUCU
RNAcentral lists this long non-coding RNA (211 nucleotides) under Lathyrus oleraceus (garden pea). Its description in RNAcentral is "Pisum sativum (pea) long non-coding RNA (PSAT_LNC032273)". The record is from RNAcentral. Lineage: Eukaryota; Viridiplantae; Streptophyta; Magnoliopsida; Fabales; Fabaceae.